AUGAAAGCCGUGGCUAACCAGCCUGUGUCAGUAGCUGUGGACGGAGGGGAUGUCAUAUUUCAACAUUACUCCGGCGGGGUAAUGACCGGCUCAUGUGGGACUGAUUUGGACCAUGGCAUAGCAGCUAUUGGAUAUGGCAUGACAAGUGACGGAACUAAGUAUUGGCUACUGAAAAACUCAUGGGGCACGACAUGGGGCGAGAGUGGGUACCUCAGAAUGGAGAAGGAUAUUUCUGACAAGAGUGGUAUGUGUGGCUUGGCCAUGCAACCUUCCUACCCCACCGAGUAG
Molecule: ribosomal RNA, 288 nt
Filed under: Triticum aestivum (bread wheat)
Lineage: Eukaryota; Viridiplantae; Streptophyta; Magnoliopsida; Poales; Poaceae
Description: partial small subunit ribosomal RNA
Source: RNAcentral